Molecule: ribosomal RNA, 253 nt
Filed under: uncultured bacterium
Lineage: Bacteria
Description: partial 16S ribosomal RNA
Rfam family: Bacterial small subunit ribosomal RNA
Source: RNAcentral
UACGGAGGGUGCAAGCGUUGCUCGGAAUUAUUGGGCGUAAAGGGUAGGUAGGUGGUCUCAUUUGUCUGGGGUGAAAGCCUUGAGCUUAACUCAAGAAGUGCCCCGGAGACGGUGAGACUGGAGUCCUGGAGAGGGUCGUGGAAUUCCCGGUGUAGCGGUGAAAUGCGUAGAGAUCGGGAGGAACACCAGAGGCGAAAGCGGCGACCUGGACAGGCACUGACACUCAACUACGAAAGCGUGGGGAGCAAACAGG